AGACACAGGGUUAACCUGCCUAAAUUAUGCAAGUCGAGCGGACAGAAGGGAGCUUGCUCCCGGAUGUUAGCGGCGGACGGGUGAGUAACACGUGGGUAACCUGCCUGUAAGACUGGGAUAACUCCGGGAAACCGGAGCUAAUACCGGAUAGUUCCUUGAACCGCAUGGUUCAAGGAUGAAAGACGGUUUCGGCUGUCACUUACAGAUGGACCCGCGGCGCAUUAGCUAGUUGGUGGGGUAAUGGCUCACCAAGGCGACGAUGCGUAGCCGACCUGAGAGGGUGAUCGGCCACACUGGGACUGAGACACGGCCCAGACUCCUACGGGAGGCAGCAGUAGGGAAUCUUCCGCAAUGGACGAAAGUCUGACGGAGCAACGCCGCGUGAGUGAUGAAGGUUUUCGGAUCGUAAAGUUCUGUUGUUAGGGAAGAACAAGUGCGAGAGUAACUGCUCGCACCUUGACGGUACCUAACCAGAAAGCCACGGCUAACUACGUGCCAGCAGCCGCGGUAAUACGUACGUGGCAAGUGUUGUCCGGAAUUAUUGGGUGUAAAGGUCUCGCAGGCGGUCUCUUAUCUUUUAUGUGAAAGCCCCCGGCCCCCCCGCACACGGUUUUUGUAAUGUGGAACUCUUGUGUGCAGAACAUGGAGAGGGGAAAUUCCAUGUGUCGCGUUGUCUGUGUAUUUGUGGAGGAGGACCACAGCGGUGAAGGCUCUUUUGCUGUUCUGGA
RNAcentral lists this ribosomal RNA (728 nucleotides) under Bacillus pumilus. Its description in RNAcentral is "bacterial SSU rRNA". It matches the Rfam family "Bacterial small subunit ribosomal RNA", at positions 31 to 739 of the family's 1533-position model. Lineage: Bacteria; Bacillati; Bacillota; Bacilli; Caryophanales; Bacillaceae. The record is from RNAcentral.